UUUCAUUUCUCCUUAACAGAGAAAGAUUAGAAGUUCCUCUUUGUUUUAUUUUGGUCUCACUGACUACAAGGUUCAGUUGAUUUGGCUGCAGAAUCUACAAGGAUAAAUGGAACAAGAGAGAGCUUGAACCAUUCAAGCUUUUAUGAUUGAAAAUGCACAUUUCUCAUGGGCACUCACAGAACUGAAACAGCAUGAUUUGCAAGCUUGCUAAAUGGAUUUCUUCCAAGCAAGUCAUUGGGAAUAUCAGAGCCUUGAACUUCAUUCCAAGAACUUGAGGAAAUCUCAUGUCUCCCUGCCAUUUUCCAGCCUCUCAUCUGAAGGAACAAACCCUAUCUCUCCCUGCCUGAUGCCGUCUGAAUUUCCUCCGGGAUUAUCUAAACAGUGCCACGUGACCCAUUUCUCUCAASCACUCUACAAAUGGGAAAGCAUAAAUCAUGUCUCCCUACAAAUAAGCACAACUGGCAAGAUGUUAUUUUUCYCUGUCUGAAGUCACACCAGUUCUUUAAUCUGCCGCCUCCUGGAAGCAUGUCUGUUCAGAGAAAAUACAACCAUUAUAAUGUAUACACAAUGUUCUUCUGCCACUUUUUGAUGCAAACUAUAACGGGAACUGCAUGCCAGAAACAUUUAAAAUAAUGCAAGCAAGUGAAUACCUCUUACUGUUUUCACUUCUCUUCAACUUGGCUUUGAAACCAGAAAGCAUUCCUGCUUGUAAGGAAAUGAAUAGCCAGCUAAAAAAGGGAAAAUCCUGAAUGUGAAAUCCCAGCGGAGCUUCAUUCUCAAACUUGUGACUUUCAAGCGUCAUGUUAUUGUUGGGGGGGGAUUGGGACAUCACCCACAUUUAGUUUUGAAAAUAUUCUUUGUAAACUGCAGAAAAGGUAAGUUCUUGCCUUAAAAAAAAAACAACUCCGAGCUGAACACUUUAAAAUACUUCAAAAACUGGAGAUGUUUUUACAGCUAAACCUUGUCUGGAGUUCAUUUAAAAUAAUUGUGUUUAUAUGGAGGUGAGUUAGUGCACAGAGCUCUGCCAAUGCCUCAACUGUAGUUAAAAGUACACAGCGAAGAAUUAUAAACCUGGUAAUUARGUUUGUGAAUGUAACACGGAGCAUGUGCAAGAAUCCAGUGGUAGAAAGUCAGUUUUGGAGGAGGAAAAAAGCCAAACCAAUCUUUAAUGGGUGCUGAACCUUGGAGGAAUAUUCUGGGGGAAAUGAAUGAUGGGACCAUGCCUUUCAUUACAAAACAACUGUGUGUAUGUGAAAGAAAGCCUACACGGUGGUCCUGUUGCUGUGUCUUCACUGAGGGUGGGAUUCAGUUUGCCCAGCUGUAAAGAUGUUCACAUUUCUGCUAGGUCUCAGGACAUCCGUAUAGUCUGUGGAAUAGGUCCUCUAGGAUGUGAACCAUCACACCUCUUGGAGACAUCUCCUUUAGGGUAAGGGGGCUCUUUCCCUUCACCAGCCAGAAGGGAGACUAGAUUUCAGGGAUCAGGAGGCAGUAGAGAUGAACCUGUAUCAAGUGUCAUUUUCCGAUAGCACCGUUGGCAUGAGUGCCUCCAAGUGAAGAGCCCUUGUCUUCCAACUUUUGUUUUUGAGGGCUUUGAGGAGAGUUGACUGCUAAAAUAAAUAUUUGGAGUUAGCAGUGACCUGAAUGGGU
This 1647-nucleotide long non-coding RNA is filed under the name Apteryx rowi (Okarito brown kiwi). RNAcentral describes it as "lncRNA (ENSARWG00000008097.1)". The record is from RNAcentral. Lineage: Eukaryota; Metazoa; Chordata; Aves; Apterygiformes; Apterygidae.